AAAUAAUCUUUUUUUUUUUUUCCCCAGUGUUAGAUAUUCUAAUUUUCUCUUUCCUUUUAUUAGUUACAGUUUGUUUUACCAAUCUGGAUUAAUUUAUCUGCAUUAUACCCUGUCAAAGGAGAUGACAUGAAAUUUCAAAAUGAGGAACUGUGCACUAAUUUCAGUACACUACAAGAAACAGCAGGCUGGGUUCUGCCUCAGGAUCACACUUGCUGCAGGCUAAGACAUUUCCUGCUCAGAUAUGCCAGCUCGGAGUUACACCAUGCUGAUUCCGGUCUGCUCAGGCUGCGUAUCGCACAGUCCCACUGACAAAACAGAAGCAGUUGAUCCAAUAUUUCCUCUUGGAUCAAGGGUUUGUGAAGGUGCCAAGGGUAUGUGGUGUUUCAUAAUCUUCUAGGGACUCACAGUUGGAGAAGUGUUAUGGAAAGUUAACACAUUCCCUUCCCCGUGUUAAUGGGAAGAUCAAGGGGAAAUUCUCUCUUCGUCCUGGUUCAUCUUCUUUCCCCAUCCAGCUUGGGCUUGCACCAGAGCCAUGCUGCACAGCACUCACUGGGAAAGUGCAAAGCUAUGACUUCUGUCCCACUUGGUUCAAUUUAGAAUUAAGAUAUCAUUUGGUUUUACUUACAAAACAUUUCAGCUUGAUUCUGAUACCUGUCUUCACACUGAAUAAGCUACUUUUCGUAUUGAAUUCAAUGGAAUUUAUGGUGUAAGAUAUUAACCAACAUAUCAAAACAUCACAAAAUCAGAUUUAACAACAACAACAACAAAGUCUUUUUGUCCUGUAUUUAAGGAGCUUUUAAGCAUGUCACAGGACAAGAAAAUACCUACAAUACAACAUCAACAGUAUGCUGGUAUAACAUCAGCAGGACACUAUGGUGGCAUUACAGGAGUUUAGUUUUCCCCAAAAUGCAGGUACUUUGGCAGCAAACGUACCUCUCUGAGUGGUGACAUGAAAAUCUCAUUCAGUUGUCUAAAGAAAGCAGAGCUGCCCUUCUUCUGAGAAUCUAUAGGUACUGGAAAGAGGUUGAUUACCUCAGGGGUAUCAUCAUCACAGCUGCAGCAAGGCCCUUCUGGCACCUCAUCUCCCUUUUAACAAAGCAAGUCUCCUCCCCUACAAAUUACUUAAAAUAAGAAACUAGCAUUUGGUAAAUCAGAACUGGAACAACCUGAACUGCGGUUUCUCAGGUCCAAAGAACAGCUUCAGCUAGAUGGACUAAGCAAACACCAGCCAGAACAUCACACUGUGUGGUUACUUCAGCCUUCCCUCAGAAAGUGUUAUUUCACUUCCUUCCAGUAGCAAAAGAACUUG
Molecule: long non-coding RNA, 1309 nt
Filed under: Anser brachyrhynchus (Pink-footed goose)
Lineage: Eukaryota; Metazoa; Chordata; Aves; Anseriformes; Anatidae
Description: lncRNA (ENSABRG00000014356.1)
Source: RNAcentral